RNAcentral lists this ribosomal RNA (826 nucleotides) under uncultured Bacillota bacterium. Its description in RNAcentral is "bacterial SSU rRNA". It matches the Rfam family "Bacterial small subunit ribosomal RNA", at positions 70 to 902 of the family's 1533-position model. Lineage: Bacteria; Bacillati; Bacillota. The record is from RNAcentral.
AAAAGGGGGGCAACUCCCUGAGUACAGCGGCGCACGGGUGAGUAACACGUGGGUAAUCUGCCCUGGAGUGGGGAAUAACACCGGGAAACCGGUGCUAAUACCGCAUACGAUAACGAGGUCUGCGGACUUUGUUAUGAAAGGAGCAAUUCGCUCUAGGAGGAGCCCGCGGCUGAUUAGCUAGUUGGUGAGGUAAUGGCCCACCAAGGCUACGAUCAGUAUCCGGUCUGAGAGGACGGUCGGACACACUGGAACUGAGACACGGUCCAGACUCCUACGGGAGGCAGCAGUGGGGAAUUUUUGGCAAUGGGGGCAACCCUGACCAAGCAACGCCGCGUGGGUGAUGAAGUCUCUUGGGACGUAAAACCCUUUCGACGGGGAAGAAACCGCAAGGUUGACGGUACCCGUAGAAGAAGCCCCGGCUAACUCCGUGCCAGCAGCCGCGGUAAUACGGGGGGGGCAAGCGUUGUUCGGAAUUACUGGGCGUAAAGGGCGCGUAGGCGGUGCUCUAAGUCGGAUGUGAAAACUCUGGGCUCAACCCAGAGCCUGCAUCCGAAACUGGAGUGCUAGAGUUCUGGAGGGGGUAGCGGAAUUCCUGGUGUAGCGGUGAAAUGCGUAGAUAUCAGGAGGAACACCGGUGGCGAAGGCGGCUACCUGGACAGAAACUGACGCUGAGGCGCGAAAGCUAGGGGAGCAAACAGGAUUAGAUACCCUGGUAGUCCUAGCCCUAAACGAUGGAUACUUGGUGUGACUGGGAUUGAAUCCAGUCGUGCCGAAGCUAACGCAUUAAGUAUCCCGCCUGGGGAGUACGGUCGCAAGGCUGAAACUC